Molecule: ribosomal RNA, 421 nt
Filed under: Acanthamoeba sp.
Lineage: Eukaryota; Discosea; Longamoebia; Acanthamoebidae
Also listed under: 4 other names
Description: SSU rRNA
Rfam family: Eukaryotic small subunit ribosomal RNA (bases 1-373)
Source: RNAcentral
AAAAUUAGAGUGUUCAAAGCAGGCAGAUCCAAUUUUCUGCCACCGAAUACAUUAGCAUGGGAUAAUGGAAUAGGACCCUGUCCUCCUAUUUUCAGUUGGUUUUGGCAGCGCGAGGACUAGGGUAAUGAUUAAUAGGGAUAGUUGGGGGCAUUAAUAUUUAAUUGUCAGAGGUGAAAUUCUUGGAUUUAUGAAAGAUUAACUUCUGCGAAAGCAUCUGCCAAGGAUGUUUUCAUUAAUCAAGAACGAAAGUUAGGGGAUCGAAGACGAUCAGAUACCGUCGUAGUCUUAACCAUAAACGAUGCCGACCAGCGAUUAGGAGACGUUGAAUACAAAACACCACCAUCGGCGCGGUCGUCCUUGGCGUCUCGGUCCUUCACGGGGCCGGGGCGCGGGGGCGGCUUAGCCCGGUGGCACCGGUGAA